GAUGCUGCAAAGACACGCGCUCAGAGAGAUGCCUCCCGCCUGCGCCCAAGACCACCCUGGAGCCCGCGGCCAGGCCCCGGAGGGGUUAACUGACCCCCGAGAGUCUGGUCCGGGGCUCCCUCAGCCAGCAGGGUCAAGGCAGGCCCGGGGCUCACCUGGGGUUGUUCUGGAUAGAGCGCAGGGCCAGGCCGAAGGCCAGGUGGCGACACGGCUCCUCGGCAGAGCUCAUCAGCCGCUGUAGACUGGUCUGCAGGGGUGGGGGCGUGACGGGAGCUCAGACCGCCAGUCCCCAGGCUCUCGGCCAUCGGCCUCAGGACAGAGACAGCAGCGAGGGUCAGCAGGGGACCCUGCUCCCCAAGCCCCCACCCCCACGGCCUCGUAACACGAGCGGCCCGCUUCUGACAGAAGGCUGACCGGGCCCUCAGCUCCCUCACCGAGAAAAAGCCCAGAAUCUCCGGUCUCCGCCGAGACAUCUCAUCUAUGUCGCUCAGAACUUCCAACAGAUCUAAGGUGGGCAGAGGGAGCAUGUGAGGGCCAGGCCUCGGCUGCUGGACCCGGGCCGGGACCUCUGUGUGCCCACGCAGCCCAGAGGCAGGAGCCCCAGCCCGCACCGUCCCCCAUCCCGCCUGCCGGGCAGGGGCCGAGCAAGGACACCACCAGGACCCUGGCCGGUCCCCGGUCUGGUCUCUGCACAGGUUCCAACAGACAGAGCUGUGGUGUUCCAGACGCGGUGCAGCCUAUCAGAACGCUAGCACCAGUGCCCUCUGGAACCUUCCACACCACCCUUGGUGCCUGGUGAGCUUGGGAGGCCCCCAGCGCCUCGGGGUGAAGAGCACCCGGUGCCCAGUUCCAUCAGGUCAAUGACCCCACGCUGUAGGCACUAUUGACAAGGAAGCAUCCAGAAGUACCGCGCUCCCGCCACCCCCGACCCUCGUCCGGCAGAGGGAGGAGGCCAGGGAUCUGCACUGGGACUGCCGUCCCCACUGCCCGUCGCCGGCCGUCCCAAGACACUCCUGCUGCCAGGUGGCGGCCAGCCCCUCACACCCCACUCUGCUCCGGUCGGCUGAUGCUCAGACACGCACCCGCCCCACAGCGUGCCUGGGAGCCCGAGCCGCUGCGGCACCCAGCCCCUCUGCUCCCCGCUGGCCCGU
This is a long non-coding RNA of Felis catus (domestic cat), 1151 nucleotides long. RefSeq lists it as uncharacterized. Lineage: Eukaryota; Metazoa; Chordata; Mammalia; Carnivora; Felidae. The transcript is spliced from 2 exons. The record is from RefSeq and is a predicted model, not a curated record.